CCUCCUUUCUAGAGAAGAUGUUCUUGUUAUACGAUUUUACAUAAAGAAGUUUUAUUCUUUUUGCUGUUGAUUUUAAAUAUAUACAGAGUAAUCUAAGAGAUAUAGAAGAUAAUUACAAAGUCUCGUAGCUCAGCUGGUUAGAGCGCUACACUGAUAAUGUAGAGGUCGGCAGUUCGAGUCUGCCCGAGACUACAUAAUUAGCUUUUGUUGUCGAUUAAAGAUUAUUUUGAAGGAAAUUCUGGAGGUUGAGAUUUAGAGUACUACUCCUAGUCCGCUUUAAGAAUUUUACUUAUGGGGGAUUAGCUCAGCUGGCUAGAGCGCCUGCCUUGCACGCAGGAGGUCAUCGGUUCGACUCCGAUAUUCUCCACAGAUGAAUACUUUUAAAAGGUAUCAUCGCUAUGGAGAAAACCAAAGAGAGCUUGCUUUUUUAGGUUUUUGAAAUAAGAUGAUUUUUAAAUGUAUUCUCAAAAUGGGAUUUAAGGAG
This 484-nucleotide transfer RNA is filed under the name uncultured Bacteroidota bacterium. RNAcentral's name for it is "uncultured Bacteroidetes bacterium partial 16S-23S ribosomal RNA intergenic spacer". The stretch from base 119 to 192 matches the Rfam family "tRNA". Lineage: Bacteria; Pseudomonadati; Bacteroidota. The record is from RNAcentral.